Molecule: long non-coding RNA, 1013 nt
Organism: Diachasma alloeum
Lineage: Eukaryota; Metazoa; Arthropoda; Insecta; Hymenoptera; Braconidae
Exons: 4
Source: RefSeq, a predicted model, not a curated record
GGCCGACAACGACGCCAACAACCCAGCUCUGGCAUUUGCCCACGAUGACGACGAUCUGAGAUUCCUGGGCCAGCGUCCACCACCAUCUCCACCCCCACUUCCAACUUUGCCACCGCGACGCCAGCCUUCGCCACCACCAGAGCCAAGGGACCAAGAGAACCCUGUCCCACAUCAUCAUCCAGACCCUAAUGUUCUGCUUCACCACCUGGAGCAGCUUGGUCGACAGAUUGCUGAUCUGCAGAGGCAGGUGCAUCUCGAUCGACGCAAUGCUGCUCAACUGGCUGAGGAUCCUCAGGAGCCUGCUCCAAGAGGGAGGGGCAGAGGUGCUUCUAGGGGCAGGCGCAGAGCCGGGAGAUUCUUGGGGGAGAGAAACGCUCGCUACUGGAGGGGACGUUAUUAUCAAACCAGGUCUCCUCGUGGAGGAGGAGGGGCUUCCUUCAACUUCGUUUAUAGAGAUUAAUUAACUCUUCUCUCUCCUUCUACGGUCCCUAUCUCACUCACUUCUUCGGUCCUCAUGAUUCCUGUUCUUCAAUACUCAAAAUAUAAGAUAAAAAGUACAAAUUAAACUGACUAGUUUAUGUGGACUGUGACUCGUACGUGACUAGUUUUAUCUUAGCUUUGAAGUAAAAAUAAAAAUGUGAUAUAAAAUAAUAUAAAAUAUUAUCAUACAAAAUAUUUCUUAUGAUUGAACAAGAAAAAAUGUGAAUUAAUCUAUGUAGAGUCUAAAACCUAACUUGGUUGAAAGUUUAUUCUAAAAAAAACUUUAAAAAAUAGGAACAUGUGAUUUAACAUGUGAAGUCUGUUAAACAUAAAAUAUGAAAUAGUCUAUGUAGAGUCUAAAACGUAACUUUGUUAAAAUAUUAUUUUAAGAAAAACUUUAAAAAAUAGGAACAUGUGAUUUAAAAUGUGAAGUAUGUUAAACAUAAAAUAUGAAUUACUAUUUAAGUAAUUAAGAACAUAAUGUGUUCAAUGAAAAAUGAAGACUAAAAGAAGUUCGUGCAGAUUUUCGGAAA